RNAcentral lists this ribosomal RNA (142 nucleotides) under uncultured Bacteroidota bacterium. RNAcentral's name for it is "uncultured Bacteroidetes bacterium partial 16S ribosomal RNA". It matches the Rfam family "Bacterial small subunit ribosomal RNA", at positions 337 to 478 of the family's 1533-position model. Lineage: Bacteria; Pseudomonadati; Bacteroidota. The record is from RNAcentral.
UCCUACCCGAGGCGCAGUGAGGAAUAUUGGACAAUGGAGGCAACUCUGAUCCAGCCAUAGCCGCGUGCAGGAAGACUGCCCUAUGGGUUGUAAACGAUUUUGGUCAGGAAGAAACAUCUCAAGUGUGAGAGCUUGACGGUAC